GUGGCUCAGAAAUUUGCAAUCUCCAUUGCACUUUGAAGUUUUAAGAAGUAAGAAUACUCCUUUUAUCCUUAAUUAGCCAAAAUUUUUUAUGCUUAUACUUUUGACUUAAAGAUCCAAAUUACUACUUACAUUGUCAUUCUUCAACAAAAUUCACUGCUAGUGAUUCCAAGAAUGGACAUUUGAUGAAUAUUGAAGCAUGUUUUAAUUAAAAGAUCUUACACCUUAUUUUCAUUUUAGUGGCGCAUACUAUUGUUACUAGUACUUCCAAUAUUGCCGAGAAGAUAUUGGGUACUCAACAUCGUAUUUGGCUAAUAUUGGAAACUUGACAAUGUAAUAUGUUUUGGGUUUUUAUACAGCAGCCCAACAUAGAAAAGUUCUGGCUGGUUUUAUAUAACAUGUACAUGGCUUGGGUUGGUCAUAUUGUACCCAUCAAACAUGCAAUGCAUUCAUAAAGAUUUGUUUAUUAUAAAUUGGCUGAAUAGUGUGGGGUAGAUUAUGAAUCUUAUGUUUUUUCAUAUUAUUAAAAUUCUCAUGAUGUGGGCACCUCAAAAUCCUCUUAGAAUAC
Molecule: long non-coding RNA, 565 nt
Filed under: Phoenix dactylifera (date palm)
Lineage: Eukaryota; Viridiplantae; Streptophyta; Magnoliopsida; Arecales; Arecaceae
Description: long non-coding RNA (PDAC_LNC016961)
Source: RNAcentral